Molecule: ribosomal RNA, 503 nt
Filed under: uncultured bacterium
Lineage: Bacteria
Description: partial 16S ribosomal RNA
Rfam family: Bacterial small subunit ribosomal RNA
Source: RNAcentral
AUUGAACGCUGGCGGCAGGCUUAACACAUGCAAGUCGAGCGGGGUGAUGGUGCUUGCACUAUCACUUAGCGGCGGACGGGUGAGUAAUGCUUAGGAAUCUGCCUAUUAGUUGGGGACAACAUCUCGAAAGGGAUGCUAAUACCGCAUACGUCCUACGGGAGAAAGCAGGGGAUCACUUGUGACCUUGCGCUAAUAGAUCAUCCUAAGUCGGAUUAGCCAGUUGGUGGGGUAAAGGCCUACCAAGGGGACGACCUGUAGCGGGUCUGAGAGGAUGAUCCGCCACACUGGGACUGAGACACGGCCCAGACUCCUACGGGAGGCAGCAGUGGGGAAUAUUGGACAAUGGGGGGAACCCUGAUCCAGCCAUGCCGCGUGUGUGAAGAAGGCCUUAUGGUUGUAAAGCACUUUAAGCGAGGAGGAGGCUCUUUUGGUUAAUACCCAAGAUGAGUGGACGUUACUCGCAGAAUAAGCACCGGCUAACUCUGUGCCAGCCGCCGCCGUAA